UACGUAGGGUGCGAGCGUUGUCCGGAAUUAUUGGGCGUAAAGAGCUUGUAGGCGGUUUGUCGCGUCUGCCGUGAAAAUUCGAGGCUCAACCUCGAACUUGCGGUGGGUACGGGCAGACUAGAGUGUGGUAGGGGAGACUGGAAUUCCUGGUGUAGCGGUGAAAUGCGUAGAUAUGUGGAGGAAUCCGAUGGCGAAGGCAGCCCCCUGGGUCAAGACUGACGCUCAUGCACGAAAGCGUGGGGGAGCAAACAGG
This 253-nucleotide ribosomal RNA is filed under the name uncultured bacterium. Its description in RNAcentral is "partial 16S ribosomal RNA". It matches the Rfam family "Bacterial small subunit ribosomal RNA", at positions 524 to 776 of the family's 1533-position model. The record is from RNAcentral.